RNAcentral lists this ribosomal RNA (232 nucleotides) under uncultured bacterium. RNAcentral's name for it is "partial 16S ribosomal RNA". It matches the Rfam family "Bacterial small subunit ribosomal RNA", at positions 118 to 346 of the family's 1533-position model. The record is from RNAcentral.
UGAGCAAUCUGCCCUUCACAUCGGAAUAACCAUUGGAAACGAUGGCUAAUACCGAAUAUGACUUCGGAUCGCAUGAUCUGAAGUGGAAAGCUCCGGCGGUGAAGGAUGAGCUCGCGGCCUAUCAGCUAGUUGGUGUGGGUAAUGGCCCACGAAGGCGACGGACGGGUAGCCGGCCUGAGAGGGUGACCGGCCACACGUGGGACUGAGACACGGCCCAGAUCCCGUAACGGGG